CUAUCUGUUUGUCUGUCUUCCUGGCUGGGCGUGGUUGACCUACUUUCCGUUUUCCGCCAACUCACCUCCGCUCCUGUUUCUCAUCAUCACUGAUUACCACCACUCACCUGCUGCUGCUUAAAACUCCGGUUCGAUCAUCAGACUUCGCCAGUUCUUCGUAUACUCACAGUGAAACUCCACAUUCCAUUCCGUCCUGCCUGCCACGUCCAGCCCAACCUCCGUCUCAGCCCUGCUCCACGUUCUCCCCACUCUGUUCAGAGUUUGCUUUGUCCCCUGCCUGGUUUUUGUGGACUUAUUAAAUCCAGUCUUUUUGACACUUCA
Gymnodraco acuticeps is the source of this 321-nucleotide long non-coding RNA. RefSeq lists it as uncharacterized. The record is from RefSeq and is a predicted model, not a curated record. NCBI's taxonomy places the organism in Eukaryota, Metazoa, Chordata, Actinopteri, Perciformes, Bathydraconidae. The transcript is spliced from 2 exons.